Molecule: long non-coding RNA, 6456 nt
Filed under: Solanum tuberosum (potato)
Lineage: Eukaryota; Viridiplantae; Streptophyta; Magnoliopsida; Solanales; Solanaceae
Description: long non-coding RNA (STUB_LNC006713)
Source: RNAcentral
AAUCCAUCAAAUGGAAUCCUGGAGCCACCUCUUGAUGCUAAUAUUCUGGCCAAGAUCAGUAACAAAGAUAUAAUGUAAUCUGGUUUAACUAACCCUAAAGCUAGCUCAUCUCUGUGCAAUCUCAUAUAGGGCCCUAUUCAGGUGUGUCACAAUUAUGGUAGUAGCUAUAUGUGUCAUCUUUCUUCAAUUGUGUCUGUAAUGGUUUCAUGAACUGGAGUUCCAGGUUCUGUUGUAGAGAACCCUUCAGCAGCAGGGGAUGCUCCUAGUCCGUCGGAAAUUCUGAUUUCUGGGAUUUGCAAAGGAAGGUCAGGCAAUAUCUCAGGAGAAGCUUCACUUGCUGCGAGCAAUUUAGGUGCAUUGCUUUCAGAUGGCUUUUCUGACAUAGAAUUAGAGUUGUCUUUCUCUUCAUCAAAGACUUUUGCAAUUGCUGUAAGCUUCUGCCAUAUUGAAUCAUCAGUGGCUAAGAUUUCUCUAUUCUGAUUAAGGAAGUUGAGGAAGAAUAGGAGAAGAGCGAAGCCUGCUGAUACACCAGCUAUGAGGAAAAGUCCCUUAAACCUAUCUAACGUGAGGCUAUCAGAUGUUAUAGCCGUUUCAUCUUUCUGUGGACAAUCUGUUUCAUUCCCAAACCAUUUCUGUAUUAUGUUAUUCAUGAACUCUCCUUCCAUCACCUUCAAGACUGCUCUUGAGACGUCAGGUACCAAAGGAGAUCCUUUUGGAAAUGCCUGCAAUAAAAGAUUAGAUGAUUGAGUAAACAACAAAUCAUUCUAAAUAUAUGUUAACAGUGUCUGAAACAUCAGUGGAGUGUACAAUCUUACAAACCCAAAACCGGCAGCCUUGUAUGUCUGGCCGACCAUAACAUACUUCCUGCAGUACUUGUUGAGGAAGAGUCUGAGAUAAGGUAGUUCAUCAACAAUUGCACCUACACCUCCAUUUUUGCUUCCUCUUGAGAGGGCUUCAUCAUAUUCUUUCAAUGUGAUAUAACUUCUGAACUUGGAGCUGUCAAAUUUCAUGCGCUUUAUGAAGACAUCUUUGACAAAGGAACCUUCUUGGUACCCAACAUAUUCUCCAUUCUUGAUGAGAUCAUUGAGGUCUGUUAUAGUAGGUUGGAGCUGUUGCAGUGUCAACAUAGAUGUUAAGCUGGCUGUAUAACUUGAUGUCAGCACCAGAACCACAAAAACCCACACAAUCAGCAAAAAUCUUGUUAAGUUACUUGUUACCCUCUCUCCUGCAACAACCAGCCAUAACAUAUUCUCCAUUCUUGAUGAGAUCAUUGAGGUCUGUUAUAGUAGGUUGAAGCUGUUGCACUGUUAACAUAGAUGUUAAGCUGGCUGUAUAACUUGAUGUCAGCACCAGAACCACAAAAACCCACACAAUCAGCAAAAAUCUUGUUAAGUUACUUGUUACCCUCUCGGCUCGCUAAAAUGGUCACAUCACCUACAACUGCAUCAUAGUCCUGGCUCAAGCAAACAUUGAUUAUUCCAGUAUGUAUAGUUGAUUGUAAUAGCAGAAAAUAGAUAUCGAAGUCCCAAAAAGGACCAUGUUAGUAAGAUAUAGAGCCAAAGAGGUUUAUUGGAACAGAGAUUAUAUAUUACCUGAGAAGUGAUCUUGUGAACAAGAUCAUCAUAGUAUGGAAGAGUGAGGGGAUCUUGUAUUGGAGAUGGAAUAAAUUCGUAAGGGAGAGCAUAUGGCAAAGAUAGGAUGACUUCUUUGAAGACAUCUGCACAGAAACCAGUUGCUGUUACUGCUUGUGUUUUUGAAUCUCUUUCCACUUUAAUGAGUUGCUCCAGCCCUCCUUUGAGAGGAACUCCAACCCUUAACUUCUUCCCACUUGUGGGCAUUUCCCAGCCUCUUGGAACAAUAGUUGAUUCACCAGGCCAAAAAAUGGUUCCUAGUUGCUCAUUAUUACACUUAACUGCUGUUUUACCACUGUUUUACUAUUCAUCUUCAGUUUAUGCGAAAUGCCAUCCUUCUCUGUCCAGAAUCCAACGCUUCUCUCUCCUUUCCCAAUUAUAUUCACAAUCUGAUAUGGGAUUGGCUGCAGUUCUCCAUUGAUGAUACGGAAAUCACCACUUAAUCCUUGUUUUAGCACUGUGUUUCGCAUAGAGUCAAUGAGCAGAGAUCCCACUGCUGACGUUCCAAGUGCAUCUAAGUCUGUUAAGUUCUCUCUGGUGUCUGGUUUCUUUAAUUUUGGGAUAGCAGUAGUGCCCACUUUAUCUAUUGCUUCUGCUAAUGAGGUGAUGCUAUCGUAUGCCCAUAGCCCGAAAACAUUGAGUUCUAUUUGGUCCAUGUCUGGAUACUCUUGACGGAAUCUCUUUCUCCAUCUUUUCGUGUAAUUGUUAAGCUGAUUUGAUCUUGGAAUAUAAGGUUUUAUACCAAGAACACCUUGCAUUGAUGACUCAAUGACUGAAUGAUCUACUGAGUCCAGAAGACUCGUUAGCACAUCUGUGAUGAUCCAUGCAUAUCCACUGCUCAUCAUCCCGGCUUCUUUGGCCUUGAGAAAAAGGCGGGAGGCAAGAUAUGGUCGCAAGUGCACGACGAACACCCUGGUCUGCUUUGUAUUCAUAUUGUAUAACUCCUUGAGAAUUUGAUCAUCAUUGGCUGACGGAGAAAUAACACUUCUAUAGGAGACUAAAGUGCUGAUUUCCAGUAAGGCAUCAGUCAAAUGUGGAACUAUCCCGAACCCAUAGGGGCUAUCCUCAUAGAUGACCACAACCUCUCUCCAAUCAAAUUUUUUAACAAGUGCUGCAAUGGCCUUAGUCUGGCUGGAAGAAGGCAGUGCUGCUCUGAUGAAGAAGGGAUUUUCCUUGACUGUAAGUAAAGGACUUGUUGCUGGAGAAAUUAUAGGGACUUUUGUUCUGUUCCCUAAGUCAAUCACAAAAUCAGUUUGUGUUGACAUUUGUGGCCCAAAAAUAGCUUGUACUUGGACAUCCUUUAGCAAGUAUAUGGCUGCACAUACACAAUCAGACAAUAAGAAUUUACCCAAAGUAAGAGUUUAAUAGAAGUGAAUCAUGGAACUGAAUUUACCAGCAGAUGUUGCUUCAACAUCAUCUUUCUUGGAAUCCUUGAUAUGAGGAACUAUCCUUAUGGCACCGCGACUAGUGUUGGCAUGAUAAUCUUCAAGUGCUAGUAAGAUAGAUAUGUGCAUUACUUUUCCCUACAUCUGUUUCCUAGAUCAAGAAUUAUACCCACAUCCACCUUUACAGCACUAGUGUUAUUAUCUUCACCUCUUAUUGGAAUUACAUAGUGGUAAAAGCUAAUGAUGGAGAUAAGUUGAAUGAAAAGAAUUAGAAAGUGGCAUCUUGGAUUAUGCAUUUGAAAAAACUCUGGUAGCAAGUAGUCUGAGAGAUGGGCAACAAGCAGUUGUGCUUGUGCAAGAUAACCACACAUUCAGAAUGAUAAAUUUUCCUAUAAUUAAUAAGACCAAACUCCAUAAAUGCAGAAACAAAAGUCAAAGAACAAAUGGUUGAAAAUCAAGUAUUCGUUUGAUUAUUGAAAGUGAGGACUUUUCACAUAUGCUACAACCGCACAGCUAGUAAGCAUACUACCCCUCAGUUUUGACUAAAUAAAAAAUUGGCAAAAUUGAUUGGUACUCAUUCCCCCAAUACCCAAUAACUUUUUGUGUGUACUAUCUAGAGGAUAUAUUCAAGGGAACUUACAUGAAUUCAACUAAUUUAGAAGUUAAUUACUUGAAUACAUUGUAGUUUGCAAUAUUACGUAUUUUACUAGAUUUUGGUAUGUCCAGAUACAUAUAUGUGAGGUUACUUAGAAUCAAAAUUAGGUGUAAUUUGCUCUAGAUGCAUUGUAUCUAAGUGACUUUGCAUGUAUCUGGGAUACAUAACAAAUCUCGCUCGCCUCUCUCCCAUCUCUCACUCUCCUAUGUAUCUGAUAUUCCAUAUACAUGUGAAUCACACCAGAUACAUACACAUAAAUGUAUCUUAUGUGUAUAUAGUGUGAUUCGCAUGUAUCUGGGAUACAUAACAAAUCCCGCUUGCCUCUUUUCUCAUCUCGUUCCCCUAUCUCCCUAUUUUUGUGUAUCUAAUGGCAAAAAUACAUGUAGCCAAAUGUAUUUUCCUCAAUAUAUGAUAGGAAACUCUUAAUUAGUGAUAGUAUACGAAAUAUUUUAAAAGUAUAGAAUAUAAUAGUAUAUAUGAUAGUGAAGUAUGUCUAAUGAUAUAGUUUUUCUGUAUUGAAAGGACUUCCCAAAUUUUGGCUGAGGCAUAAAAAGUUGACAAAUUUAGCUCAGUUACAAAUUCCACAAUUAAACCAAUAAGUAGAAGAGACCAUUGUUUUCCAACUUGGACAAGGCUAGAUACGACUAGUAAUCUUUAGUUUACGCUUUUUCGGUUACUAGUUUUUGGACACGUGCGUUGCACGUAUAUCCCAUAUUAUAUGGUUGCAUAAUAUAUGUCUAUAGUUACAAAUAUAUGUAUAAAAAAAAAUUGAUUGUGAUAUAAAUUGGAAAACAUGUAUAAGAUAAGAAAUCAAAACAGAUACCCUCAAAUUUCAAACUAUAAGCAUAAUAAGAAUAUGUAUUUCUAAUGAGUUUAAUCAAUCAUACCUUGCAAUAAUCUCUGCAAUUCAUUGAGAAACUUUCAAUCCAUACAUCAACAUUCAAUCGUGUAUAUAUAAAGAAAACUUGAAAUGCAUAACAACAAUUAUAUCUAUAUUUUUUAAAACACUAUAAAGUCAUUUUUUCUUUUUGCAUUAUAAUAUGGAUUGCACACAAUUUCUAUUAAAAAAAAGAAAGACAAAAUUAGGAAAAAUCGUAUCAAUAAAUUGGAAUGAAAAAUGUAAAAUUGUAAUAAGAGGAAGAGAAGAAAAAUCAGUAGAAUAUAUUUACCUAACCAUGAAUAAGGAAGUAUGUUGAGUAAAAGAAGAGUAAUGCAAAAGUGUGANNNNNNNNNNNNNNNNNNNNNNNNNNNNNNNNNNNNNNNNNNNGUAUGUGUAGUUAAUGGGGUAGUGAAAAAGACUCUUUCUGAAAUUAUUUUUAUCUCUUUAAAGUAAUUUUGAAAUUUUAAUAUUAGUGCUAUAGAAAAUCAUAUAAAGUCAUAAGCCACUGCAAGUUUUUAUAGUAAUUAUCUUAUUAAAUUAUAUACCUAUUAUUUAUUUUUAAUUAUUUAUAAUCAUUCCGAAAAUGUAUAAAUUAAUUUUGAAAAGCUUGUAAAAUGAGAAAUUAUUAUUUCUUAUCAUUAUUUUAGCUAUUAUUAACAUUUAGUAUGACAACAUUUUAAAAAAGCACCUUCCUUUAAAUAUUAAUUGUUUCUUAAUUAACGUAGCCAAGAAUUUAAAUUGUUGUGACGUUUUGUUUAUCUAAACACGCAGAAUUUUGUUUUUGAACCUGGAACAUGUAAUUAAGCCUUGGGUGAAUUAUAAUUUUAUUUUUACUAUUUAAUUAAUUAAAUAAUUUAUAACAUUUUAAUAUAAUGAAGGGGUAAAAUGGUAAUUCAACUUUAAAGGUUGGAGCUUCCCACUUUUAGUAAUAUAUAUGAUAAAUUGGUCAGUAGUAGAACCUAGUUUAAUUUGAUACGGAGUUAAAGAAAAUAAACAUGACUUUUCAAUCUUGUGGUCUUAAAUUAAAGUUAUGUUAAAUAUACCAAAAUGGUUUUUAAUCUUAUGACUUUAAACAUGUCACGUAAAAAGCUGAAAUUAAAGUGUUGCCAAAAAAAGAAGGGUCAUUUUUUUUAAACAGACUAAACAGAAAAGUAGAUCAUUCUUUUUAAAACGGAAGGGAAGUAAUUGUUAAUGCAAGAGGAAGCUGCUUGAGAAGUUACGUAUAUGAUGUUGAAGUUGUCAAACAUGCAAUGCUGGUCCUAUAAUCUUUCAUUAUUUAUUAUCCAUGACUAUGGGUGGAUAAUAAUAGUUAUCUGCUAUGAUCAUAUAUACCUAGGGGUGGACAUAUUACUUAGAAAACUUAUGUUAGGUAAUUUUGAUUUCUAAAAAUACUAUAUGGUGUAUGCUAUUUGCAGAUGAUAGUCCUAAUCGACCAGACUCGUAAUAGAGUUAAUGUUAAGCUAGAGAAGAUAAUAAUGGCUCCUUUCUCAAAUAUUUCAUUGGUAGAAAUUUGUCUUCCAGAAUUUCAUAAUUGCAUCUGGUCCUUUCUGAUAACUCACAGGGCUUCUUAAAUUGGUGCGGAAGUUUAAUUUUGACAUGGAACGCAAAUAUAUGCUGAAAAUUAGUAAUUCAAUAAAUAUUUAAUUUUGAAUGCAUAUUACAAAAGUGCAAGGAAUUCAAUUGUAAGAUGUUGAAGGUUAAACCCAUAAAUUCUAUAUACUAAAGACGCCUCUUAAUGCAAAUAUAAUAUGGUUUAACUAUUUUAAACCUGGCUUAUCUCUCUUAAGUUAUCCCUGUAAUGUUUUCAUGAACUGGAGUUCCAGGUUCUGUUGUAGAGAACCCUUCAAGUGCAGGGGAUGCUCCUAAGCCGUCGGAAAUUCUGAUUUCUGGGCUUUGCAAAGGAAG